RNAcentral lists this ribosomal RNA (232 nucleotides) under uncultured bacterium. Its description in RNAcentral is "partial 16S ribosomal RNA". It matches the Rfam family "Bacterial small subunit ribosomal RNA", at positions 99 to 334 of the family's 1533-position model. The record is from RNAcentral.
CGGACGGGUGAGUAAUGUCUGGGAAACUGCCUGAUGGAGGGGGAUAACUACCGGAAACGGUAGCUAAUACCGCAUAACGUCGCAAGACCAAAGAGGGGGACCUUCGGGCCUCUUGCCAUCGGAUGUGCCCAGAUGGGAUUAGCUAGUAGGUGGGGUAACGGCUCACCUAGGCGACGAUCCCUAGCUGGUCUGAGAGGAUGGCCAGCCACACUGGAACUGAGACACGGUCCAG